CAGCAGGCAGUUAUCCCUUCACCUGCCUGCUCGUGGCUUUGGAGGGAGUCAGCCUGCCAGAUCAUUGUGGACCCCCUGGUGCGUUUUGGCUUGUCUCCUGUGACACUCCAUCCACCAGUAUCCACCACACCA
This 132-nucleotide small nucleolar RNA is filed under the name Paramormyrops kingsleyae. RNAcentral's name for it is "Small nucleolar RNA SNORA56 (ENSPKIG00000008491.1)". Lineage: Eukaryota; Metazoa; Chordata; Actinopteri; Osteoglossiformes; Mormyridae. The record is from RNAcentral.